Molecule: ribosomal RNA, 494 nt
Filed under: uncultured bacterium
Lineage: Bacteria
Description: partial 16S ribosomal RNA
Rfam family: Bacterial small subunit ribosomal RNA
Source: RNAcentral
GAUGAACGCUGGCGGCGUGCCUAAUACAUGCAAGUCGAGCGAACGGACGAGAAGCUUGCUUCUCUGAUGUUAGCGGCGGACGGGUGAGUAACACGUGGAUAACCUACCUAUAAGACUGGGAUAACUUCGGGAAACCGGAGCUAAUACCGGAUAAUAUUUUGAACCGCAUGGUUCAAAAGUGAAAGACGGUCUUGCUGUCACUUAUAGAUGGAUCCGCGCUGCAUUAGCUAGUUGGUAGGUAACGGCUUACCAAGGCAACGAUGCAUAGCCGACCUGAGAGGGUGAUCGGCCACACUGGAACUGAGACACGGUCCAGACUCCUACGGGAGGCAGCAGUAGGGAAUCUUCCGCAAUGGGCGAAAGCCUGACGGAGCAACGCCGCGUGAGUGAUGAAGGUCUUCGGAUCGUAAAACUCUGUUAUUAGGGAAGAACAUAUGUGUAAGUAACUGUGCACAUCUUGACGGUACCUAAUCAGAAAGCCACGGCUAACUACG